Long non-coding RNA from Dromaius novaehollandiae (emu), 538 nucleotides. RefSeq lists it as uncharacterized. Lineage: Eukaryota; Metazoa; Chordata; Aves; Casuariiformes; Dromaiidae. The transcript has 3 exons. The record is from RefSeq and is a predicted model, not a curated record.
GUGCUGGAUGCUUUUUACAAGAUUCUGGGUGGCCUGACUUCUGCUGAUGGCUAGGGAGUUAGAAGAGCUUGGACAAGGACUCCAUGUGAUAGCUAAACACUUCAUUCCAGACAUGACAACAGCCUGCUCAAAUGAUCUGCUGACCUGUUCUGGAUUUCAUUGUCUAUAUGAUAAAUGCAGGGUGGAGAUUGAAGGGACAACAGGAGGCAAUGUGUCCCCACCUGAAGCAACACGGACGAUUAAUAAAACUGUAAAGAUAGACUCUUUACCUGUUCACCUCCUCUGUUUCCAAACAGUCCAUCUCUACAUUUGUUAUGAGCUUAUUAUUAAAAUCUGCUACUCAAAUGAGAUGAAAAUUGUGGUGACCUCCAGUCAGUGAAGCUGGCUAGCAGAGCUGGGGUCAAGUGUAUACAAGGAAAAAAGAUUUGGUAAGAUGGCUUGCUGUAUUUCAGAUGCUGCCAAUGUGUGUGAAUUCCUCUAUCCAGUGUAAUCCAGCUGUACAUGGUCUGAAAAGCAGAGGAUCUACAAAAGGAGCCAA